AAGCUGCGAUACGUAGUGUGAAUUGCAGAAUCCGUGAAUCAUCGAAUUCUUGAACGCAACUGGCGCUUCCCGGCGUGCCGGGAAGCAUGUCUGUUUCAGCGUCAUAAUCUUAAACUCACUCCUCCUAUGGGGGUAGUGGAGAUGAGGGUCACGCUGGCGUGAGCGAGCGGGUCCCUUGAAAGGCAGUGACGCGCGCCGCGGCCUUGGUGGUUCCGCUGGCCUCUGUGGUGGUAGAAAUCGGUUUGCAUUUCCGCAAGCGCAGAGGAGGAGCCUGACCGGGUGGCGGGGUGGCGGCGAAAACCCACGUUCAAUCUAUGACCUGAAAUCAGGCAAGAGGACCCGCUGAACUUAA
Molecule: unclassified non-coding RNA, 352 nt
Filed under: uncultured Glomeraceae
Lineage: Eukaryota; Fungi; Glomeromycota; Glomeromycetes; Glomerales; Glomeraceae
Description: sequence contains ITS1
Rfam family: 5.8S ribosomal RNA (bases 1-104)
Source: RNAcentral